Molecule: non-coding RNA, 478 nt
Organism: Pelobates cultripes (western spadefoot toad)
Lineage: Eukaryota; Metazoa; Chordata; Amphibia; Anura; Pelobatidae
Source: the annotation of a GenBank genome assembly
AAACGAUACUGUGAGCUGUAACUCCCAUCAAUCUAAGCCAGGCUUCAGUGACAAUAAUUACCGUCCAUAGCAUCCCGUGUCUUCACUAAAUUUCGGCAAAAACAGCUGAUCUGAACAAUAUCUCCAACUCCGCUAUAGUCACAGCUCUGCUGUUUUGUGUAAUGUGUUCCGAUUCUGUGUUUGGUGAAUACAGUGUGUCCGGGAUAACACACAUAUCUCAAAGAAAAAAAAUAUAAGUAAGUCAAUAAAAGUGACACUUAGCGCCGUAACAUGAAUUCUUGUUUAAUGGACGUGAGUUCUAUAAUCUGUACCCUCAGCCCUGGUUCCCAAGAACACGGCUGGAGAGAACAAGGAGUUUGAUUUUACGGCAGCGAGCAUUCCUCACUUUCAAAAAUAAAAAGAUUCACUUGGAAGAGAGUGAUUUAAGUUUCUUUUUGACUGUAAAAAUGAGAGUUCCUGCCACGGAACCUGGAGGAAG